CUCGUAGGUGGCCAACUAAGUCAGACGUGAAAUCCCUCGGCUUAAUCGGGGAACUGCGUGUGAUACUGGAUGGCUUGAGUUUGGGAGAGGGAUGCGGAAUUCCAGGUGUAGCGGUGAAAUGCGUAGAUAUCUGGAGGAACACCGGUGGCGAAGGCGGCAUCCUGGACCAAUACUGACGCUGAGGAGCGAAAGCCAGGGAGCAAACG
Molecule: ribosomal RNA, 206 nt
Filed under: uncultured bacterium
Lineage: Bacteria
Description: partial 16S ribosomal RNA
Rfam family: Bacterial small subunit ribosomal RNA
Source: RNAcentral